Petromyzon marinus (sea lamprey) is the source of this 72-nucleotide small nucleolar RNA. RefSeq annotates it as small nucleolar RNA SNORD56. NCBI's taxonomy places the organism in Eukaryota, Metazoa, Chordata, Hyperoartia, Petromyzontiformes, Petromyzontidae. The record is from RefSeq and is a predicted model, not a curated record.
UUGCUAUGAUGGUACUAUUUUUCGUCAACAGACUUUCACCUCUGAAUGUUGAAAGCAAUUUUUUCUGAGCAU